RNAcentral lists this long non-coding RNA (6880 nucleotides) under Trifolium pratense (red clover). Its description in RNAcentral is "long non-coding RNA (TPRA_LNC000233)". The record is from RNAcentral. Lineage: Eukaryota; Viridiplantae; Streptophyta; Magnoliopsida; Fabales; Fabaceae.
CUUUACAUGGAUAACAUAUUACAAAACCCUGAAAGAUCAGAGGCUUUGAUGUAGCUGGUCAUGGGAGGGGCUUUGAUGCCCCAACCUUACAAUUAUUGGAGGUAGAGAAACCUGAAAGAUUGGAUUUGGAGGCUCUAAUGUAGCUGGUCAUGGGAGGUUUAGAGAAACCCAAAAGAAAAAGAUCUCCACAUUACAGUCCCGACAAUCUGUGUAAAGUAUAUCAAACCCCAAUCAUUCCUCUUAUAAAAUAAUAACAGAUAGUUAAAGUAGUUGACUGAAGAUAAAAAAAAAAAAAAAAAUAGGAAAACUUGUUUUUGAAUCGGCAAAAAUAUAUUGCGACUACUCAUACCCAAGAACAAGUUGUACUCGGACAAGAGCCAUGCAACAACAUGGAAAAUUCAGAGUCAAGACACCCCUCAGCCUUACACCAAAACUAACUUUGUAAAGAAAUUUAUACACCGAACCCAAGUUCACUUCGUGCAUUAUUAAAUUAACACAGGACCAUGAUUAAAGCCAGAAAAUCUGAGUAUGCAUCAGAAUAAAGAGAAAAAAAAGAAUUAGCAUAACCCUUCACUUUUUAAAAUAUAUACAAAAUAUAAACAGGGAAUUAGUAGCAGUAGGCUUAUAUUGAAGAAAACCCAUGUGUCACAAGACCCGUAAAAGUUCCCUGUAUGCCCCUGAAAACGAAAUGUUCGGCUACAAGACAAAAGUCCGAAUUCUGGACAUCAGAUACCAUAUCCAAAUAUACACAAAAGUUAAGAGCAAAACAAAAAAUGAGAAAUAAAAAAUGCAUAAUUCAAGAAAUCUGAUGUGAGUUAUGAAUGGUUUCAAAAACUUGGAAGAGAUCAGAUGGUAGUGCAUGUUUGUUUCAUCAUCUAUAACAGAACCGUUGGAUAAAUAUCAUCAUAUCUCUUUGCAUUUCAUGUAAACAUACUAUAUUUAAAAGUAAAUCAUCUUUAGGUUUCAAAAAAAAAAAGUAAAUCAUCUUUAAAUGAACAUAUGCUAUAUAAAAAUCUAAAUGGCAAAAUUUUUAAAAACAAAAAUAGUAAAAAACAUGUCAUCAAAGUUAAAUAAGACUGGGUAUAAAAAACAUGUCAUCAAAUCAAAUACUCAAUGGGUUUGUCAAAAUUAGGGAGGCACCGCAAUUUUGUUGAAGCUCUAAAAAGUAGCUUUUGCAAAUUGCAACUAUGUUUUCGCCAAAUUCAACACAAAAACACAGCAAAAAAAAGUUAAUUUCUUAAAACUAAAACAAAAUUUAUUUGAUAUUAAAAAACUACAAUCUGGAAGAUGAGAUCAGAUAGUCGAUCUUUCACCAAGUAUGAAAUUCACAGUAAGACUGGACGUCACAUUUAAAGAUGUUAUCCACAUAUCCCUAUGUAUUAAUGUUGCAAACUGNNNNNNNNNNNNNNNNNNNNNNNNNNNNNNNNNNNNNNNNNNNNNNNNNNNNNNNNUGAGUAUAAUGAAAUUAACACUUUAAAAUCUAAGAUAAAAUAACAGGAUCAGAUAAUAAGUCAGUCACCAUGUUACACUUGAAAGUGCAAAUUAAGACUGGGGCGACAAUUACUAUCAUCACAUCCAAUUUUUUGCGAAUUUAUUAAGUUAUAUCAAAGAAUGUAUUCAAUAAUUCAAUAGGCAGAAUUAAAAAAAAAGUGAAGAUGUAAUAACAGAUUAUUCGAAAAUAAGUCUUGUUAGUAAUGUUACCACUUAGAAUUUACAAAAUUACUUCGCACAGAUCAUGAAUAAUACUAACAGAUAAAAUAGGAUCGGAAUUUGAAUGAGUGAAGAGUGGUUUCCCAGAGUAAUAUUACCAUGUGAUUCAUUUCUGCACAUGAUUGGAUGAAAAUAAUACUUACAUCGCAAUCAAACAACACAAAAAUUGCACCAACAUGUUAUCAAGAACCCAAACCUUUGAUAUAGAAUCUAAAUGAAACAAAUACAAAUUACUAUGAUUAUUGUUUAUUCAAAAAAUAGUAAAGUAACUAAAACAUAAAAAUAGAGAAAUAUAUCUAUAUACCUACAAAGUAUAUUCAUAUUAUAUGUUUGUUGCAUUUUUCGAAGAAAUAUAUUUUGGAGUUUAAAUAAACAAGUUUGUUGCAUACACAGACAGUAUACCACUAAUUGUGAUCAUUUUUGGCAUUAGUAUACUAACCCAAAAAAGGGAUAUAUUGUAUGUGUUUAUAGUAAAUCUGUUUACCUUAACUUUAAAAUGUAUUACUGCGAAAAGUGCAACAAAUGUUAUUAUGAAUUAGGAAUAUAUCUUAUAUGUAAUAUUUCUUUAAUUUUCAAUGUUUAUGUUUCAUGCAUAACAUUUUGUACAACCAAUAAUAUCAAUAAUUGAUAUAGUUUCACUUAGAUAUUAUUAUCGAGAUUCUAUCUAUUGAUUAUAAUUAAUGUGUAGCAUUUGUGCUAUUUGAUCGUGAUGUAAGUCUAUGUUUCAACAAAUAAUGAGUAAAAAUGCUUAAAACACAUGAAGGGAGUGCUAGCAACACUCUCUAACACUCACUUUCUAAUUGAGUGAGAGUCAUGUGGGUCUCAUCACAUUUUGCUAUAGAAAACUUCAUGUACACUCCAUUUGGUUGGAAGGAAAGAAAGUGUGAAGGAAGGAAAACACGGAAACCAAUGAGUGAACUUAAACUACAAUUUAGACCAAGUUCAUUCUUCGGUUUCUGUAUUUUCCUUCCUUCCCAUUUCUUUUCUUCCAACCAAACAGAACCAUAACAAGCGAACAUAGUUGAGGACAUAGAACUGUAGAGUCCAAAUGGAGCAGAUGCAAGCACAAAGAAAACUUCAUCUGUAACGAUGGACUCGUUAAUUUUCCAGACUAGUAACUGUAUCAACAAUGGUAUGAUAGAAGGACACAUGACUUAAGUCUGGAGUCAGUAAAGUAUAUAUCAGAGAACCAAAAACUUAAAAUGCAAAACAGAAAAUAAAAUAAAAUAAAAAAACGCAGUGAGUUCUAACUAUUUUAUAUUUAUCCAACUAAUUGCUGAAAUAUGGCACCACAAAAGACACCAAUUAUACAAAAUGAUAUAAACUUCAAAAAAAAUAAAAUCCAAAAUGUUCCAACCUUGACAGGGAUGAUAAGAUACAGAAAAGAAAUCAUCCAGGUAGGGGUGGUUGGAAGCUCUAAAUGUAGCUGGUCAUGGGAAGUGCAGAGAAACCUGAAAAAGAAAAUUUCCACACUACAUUACCAGCAACCUUUGUUGAAAAACUAUCAUAAUCCAUUACCUUACUCUAAUUAAACAUCAACAGAUAGUAAAAACAUGGUUGAUUGAAGACAAAUAAAAAAGAAUGAGAAAAUUGAGGGAAAAUAAAGUAUCGAAUUGCGAAAAGAAAGAUCCCACAAGAGAUCCAACUCGAUAUAUUCGAUAAUAUGGCUUGAUAUAGCUAGUACCAUGAACCAGUAUCAAAUCAUUACACACUUAAUUGCAAUUAAUAAUUGGAUGUGCACGUAUCAUGACACACUGCUAAACCAGCAAAAUGUGCAUCUUCUGAGUGAAUCAUGACUCAGGACAUGAAGAGAAUCAAAGUUCAUACCUCAACAAUCAAUUUCAUUUUAUGAAUUAGAUUAUGAAAACAUUAACCCAAAAUGAGUGAAACAAACAAUAUCUGAGAACAACUUUGUAAAAGAUUAACAAAAUGGGGGUUGUAAAUGUAGGGAAAAUGAUUGUUGUGAUUUUCAACUUUAAAAUGAAACACAACUGCCCAUUUUCCCAAAUUAAUAUUGCUAGGGAACACUUUCGGAAGAAUGCAUUUGAUCAUAGCAAAACACCAAUACACACUAUCCCUGCUUGUUAACAAAACAUCAUCUAUUUCAACAAAUAUUCAUUUAGAGCAUAAUCAAAAUGAACUCCGCAAACCUAAUGAUCAUAUCUAAACAAAACAAGUUACAAUAUUUUGUUCACCAAAAAAUUACGGUGAAAAACUUUGUUCAAAGAAUAAAUUUCAAGGAAACAAGUUACAAAGUAAAAACACCUCAAAUGAUAGAAUUGAAAAACACAAAAUGUAGGAAUAAUCCAAACUCCAAGCACAUUUACAAUCAGCGCAAGAAGCCUAACUAAUUCCAUCAAACAUUUAUUUAGAGCAAUUAUAAAAAUGAACUCCUCAAAGCUAAUGAACAAAGCAGUAGGAAGAUAGUAAUGCUCAUGUAUCAAAAGAAAACAAAUUACAAUAUAAUUGUAACAAUUGUUCCUAAAAACUCAAGGAACAUUGUUCCUAAAAACUCAAGGCUCCUACACAAUCUUUAAUCACAUCUUUCAACAAAUAAAAUACAAACAAACUCAACUACAAGUUUUGAAGUAUCAACACAGACACAACACAUGUACAUCAACACCAAUAAUAAUUUAAAAAUAAAUAACCUUUUCGGCAUCCAUCUGUAUGAUACCCAGACACACAUAAUCCAAGAAGGGUAGAUAGUUUACAAGAGGUGGAAAAACAAAAAACUUUGAUAACUAACUACUUUGACUCCUAGAUUGAGUUAAUAAAACUAUGUGGGCAUUGUAAAGAAAAUGUACCAUUAACACCUAGGUAAACAAUGAAAUUUUGUUUCCUUAGCAAACAAAACAUGGCAUCAAUGGACGUGAAGAUGAUAUUGUCAUCCUCAGACACGAGAAAGUCAAGUAUGAAUAACUAGCUCGCUGUAAAGAUGACAAUUUCAAGAUCUAUAUAUGUUAAGAGAACAGCUUCUCUUUUAUAAAUAUAUGUAAAAAAUAUAAACAGGGAAUUAGUAACAGUAGGCUAAUAUUGUAGAAAACCUCUGUGUCGCAAGACCUGUAAAAGUUCGAUGUAUGCCCGUAAAAACGAAAUGUCCAGCUACAAGACAGAAGUCCGAAUUCUGGACAUCAGAUACCAUAGGCAAAUAAAUACAUAAAGUGAGAAAAAAAGGCUUAAUUCAAGAAAUCUAGAGACAUAUGAAUGCUUUCAAAAAACUUGCAAGAGAUCAGAUGGUAGUGCAUGUUUGUUUCAUCAUCAAUAACAGAACCGUUGGAUAAAUAUCAUCAUAUCUCCUUGCAUUUCAUGCCAAAAAACUAUCUUUAUUUAAAAUUAAAUCAUGACUAAACAAAACAUAUGCUAUAUAAAAAUCUAAACAAAAUCAUGACUAAACAAAAUGGCAUGAUUUUUCAAACAAAUUUAGUAAAACACAUGCCACCAAAUGCAUGUGUGAUUUUGCAAAAGCAAUGAGUGUAGCUUUUUCAAUAUAAUUUUUAAGAGGAAAACAAAUGGAACCCAAUGUAAAUCAUUUUUAAGGGAAAAAUCUAUUUGAGAUUAAGAUUCAAACCAAAAUUAUGGAUAGAGAAAAAGAUGUUCACUCAGAGUUACAAAAAGAUCAAAAAAUUAACUUCCAUAAUGCAUCUGCCUUCUAGUCACGGGUUCAAAACAUCUGCAAAUAUAACCAAAAUGCAAAAAAUAAGCAUGUAAUUACACGGUAAAUAAAUUAGAAUAAGAGGAUGAUAAUAUUAUCAUCUUACAAUUUUGGUUAUUCUGAAGUGCACUAACUAACAUAAAAUGGUAAAUUCUACCAAAAAUUCACUUGGCUAUUAAUAUUUGCAGAACUAUUCACAGUAGAAAUGCAUUUUUUUUAAAAGCCAAGAAUAACAACAACAAAAAAACAAGCAGGGUUGCUUAGAUAACCAGGUACCAAUUAUACAAUCAUCAAGAUCAAACAAGUAAACAACAAAACCAAACGAAACACUUUUACCAAAACUAACGUCUAAGCCAAGAACAAACAGAACCUCUAUCUUACUGUUACUAUGCACAAAAGAAAUGAAAUUACAACAUUUUGAAAAAGGAUUCAGGAAAAAGGGAAAUUAUAAACCAAUCAUAUUGGAGAACAUCUCCAUGGAUAAACAAAUAUGCUCGAUCAGAAAGGGUUUUAGCUGGACAGAAUACAGACAACAUAUGGUAAAAACUGGACCAGAAAAAAUUGAAACUGUAAGCCAAUAUCAUUGGAGAACAUCUCCAUAGAUUUAAAGAGAAGCCUCAAGCAGAAAGGCUUUACACUUGAUAUACGCACAGAUAAAAUCCUGGAAACAAUUUUUGCUAACAAGAAGAACUAAGUGCGAUUUACUUUUUUGCCAGAAAAUAAUAAAAAGAUCAAUUUUCAAGUAAUGUACAGAUUACAUGGAUUAUUUAAGGAGAUAAGUUAUGAAUACAUUUGAUAAGUUAUGGAUUAUCUGUGAGCCAAAUACAUUGGAGCGCAUCUCCAUAGAUAUAAAGAGAAGUCUUCCAUUUGUAAAACACAUGCCAUCAAAUGCAAUGAGUGUAGCUUUUUCAAUAUCAUGGCUCGCCGUGAUUUUUCCAAACUCACCAAAAUCCAAACAUACACUAAAUCUAAACAAAGACAACAAAAAAAAAGUUAUUUUCUUAACUAAAACAAAAAUUAUUUGACAUUAAAAAAUUACAAUCGGUAAGAUGGGAUCAGAUAGUCGAUCUUUCACCAAAUAUGAAAUUCACAGUAAGACUGGACGUCACAUUUAAAGAUUUUAUCCUCAUAUCCCAAUGAAUCAAUUAAAACAAAAAUAAACAAACACAAGCAAAAUUUAAUUAAUUUGAGUAUAAUGAAAUUGAAACUAAAAAUUAUAAAACUAUAAUUAGAGGAUCAGAUAAAAAGUCAGUCACCAUGUUACACUUGAUAGUGCAAAUUAAGACUGGGGCGACAAUUACUAUCAUCAUAUCCUCCUCAUAAUAAUCAUGAAUUUAUAAAGUCAUAUCAUAGAAUGUAUUUGAUAAUAAUUUGAUAUAAUAGAGCUUGAAAUUAACUUACAGAAAAUGAGAUUGGAAUUGGAGAAAGUGAUGAUGGAGAAAUUCUUACAUUGAUUUGAGAUUGGAAUGAAUUAUUUGCUGGUAGAAACAAUUGGUGCAAUUAGGGUUUGUGUUUGGG